RNAcentral lists this ribosomal RNA (440 nucleotides) under uncultured bacterium. RNAcentral describes it as "partial 16S ribosomal RNA". It matches the Rfam family "Bacterial small subunit ribosomal RNA", at positions 338 to 795 of the family's 1533-position model. The record is from RNAcentral.
CCUACGGGAGGCAGCAGUGGGGGAUAUUGCACAAUGGGGGAAACCCUGAUGCAGCGACGCCGCGUGGGUGAAGAAGCGCCUCGGCGCGUAAAGCCCUGUCAGCAGGGAAGAAAAUGACGGUACCUGAAGAAGAAGCGCCGGCUAACUACGUGCCAGCAGCCGCGGUAAUACGUAGGGGGCAAGCGUUAUCCGGAUUUACUGGGUGUAAAGGGGGAGCAGACGGCGAUGCAAGCCAGGAGUGAAAGCCCGGGGCCCAACCCCGGGACUGCUCUUGGAACUGCGUGGCUAGAGUGCAGGAGGGGCAGGCUGAAUUCCUGGUGUAGCGGUGAAAUGCGUAGAUAUCAGGAGGAACACCGGUGGCGAAGGCGGCCUGCUGGACUGCAACUGACGUUGAGGCCCGAAAGCGUGGGGAGCAAACAGGAUUAGAUACCCUAGUAGUC